RNAcentral lists this ribosomal RNA (439 nucleotides) under uncultured bacterium. RNAcentral describes it as "partial 16S ribosomal RNA". It matches the Rfam family "Bacterial small subunit ribosomal RNA", at positions 339 to 795 of the family's 1533-position model. The record is from RNAcentral.
CUACGGGAGGCAGCAGUGGGGAAUAUUGGACAAUGGGCGCAAGCCUGAUCCAGCAAUGCCGCGUGAGUGAUGAAGGCCUUAGGGUUGUAAAGCUCUUUUACCAGGGAUGAUAAUGACAGUACCUGGAGAAUAAGCUCCGGCUAACUCCGUGCCAGCAGCCGCGGUAAUACGGAGGGAGCUAGCGUUGUUCGGAAUUACUGGGCGUAAAGCGCGCGUAGGCGGUUACUCAAGUCAGAGGUGAAAGCCCGGGGCUCAACCCCGGAACUGCCUUUGAAACUAGGUGACUAGAAUCUUGGAGAGGUCAGUGGAAUUCCGAGUGUAGAGGUGAAAUUCGUAGAUAUUCGGAAGAACACCAGUGGCGAAGGCGACUGACUGGACAAGUAUUGACGCUGAGGUGCGAAAGCGUGGGGAGCAAACAGGAUUAGAUACCCCAGUAGUC